GGUACCCGCGAGAAAACUUGCAGAAACAGGCGUCAAACUCCCCGUCAAAACCAAACCCAAAUACACGGAAGAGUCUUCUUCUUCUUCCCAAAGUCUCAGUCUUUGUUAACCUUAGCUUCUUCAUAUAAUAAGGUCAUAGUUCAAAGCCCCCCAAUAUACAGUGUCCUCCCGGUCCUAACAAUCUUUCUCAGAAAAAACCAACCUAACCUCAUUUCCGGUACUAAUCCCCCAGUUUUAUAUCUUAAACGAUUUGGUGCUGUAGAUGGUACAGUACAGAGUUGCAGACCCAACAAAAUAAAGAAAUGGUCUUCAAACACCGACGCUCUCUCUCUCUCUCUCUCUCUCAGUCACACAUAAACACAAACCCACUGUUCACUCUCUCUCUUUCUGCUUUCUGCGUCUCUGCUACAAACCGACGAUAAACUCCUUGCUGGCAAAGAUUCCCGUUCUUUACCCCUUUACCUUUUCUCUCUUCUCUCUCUCUCUCUCUCUAAUCACAAACCCUAAAACUCUGUGACACCCAGAAUCCCCUCCCUCUUCUCAAUUCUUCCACCCAUCACAAUCCAGCCAUGGUUCUCCUGAUCCAACCUUGACCCACUACUCCUCCCCCCACCUAUUCCCCUAAAGUCGUUCUCUUUCUUUUGUUUUAAUUAAUUAUUAUGGGCUGCACGAGCUCCAAGCUCGACGACCUCCCCGCCGUGGCGCUCUGCCGCGAGCGGUGCGGCUUCCUCGACGAGGCCAUUCACCAGCGCUACGCCCUCGCUGAGGCCCACAUAAAUUACAUCCACUCCCUCCGCGGCAUCGGCCAGUCUCUCACUCACUUCAUCGACCAAGAAACCACCAACUCCUCCGGCGAGCCUCCUUCCCCCACUCUCAACCUCCCUCCCGUCCGCAAAGGCGCCGCCAAAACCUCCUCCCCCCCGAACCACUCCAGGUCCAAUUCCGGCUCCCACCUCCACUUCCACUCCGACUCCGACGACGACGACGACUCCCUCGGCUCCCUCCACCAUUCCGACCACUCCUCGCCGCUCCACCUCCACGACGGCGGCGCGCAGUACAUGGACGAGGGAGACGGAUUAAACAACAUGAUGAACACGAACGCGUACCCGCCGCAGGGCUAUAUGCACAUGAACUACAUGAGGAACAAGGCCACGCCGUCCGUCGUGUACCAGCAGAAACCGAUGAGCCCCGAAAACGUCUACCACGUCGGCGAAUCCUCCAAUUCUUCUGACUAUCCUUAUCCUUACCAAGACGGUGGCGGUGGGGGCGGCGCAGUAGCUAAUCCUUAUCCCUAUUCCGGGUAUUCCAAUUAUGGAGGAGGCGGCAAUUACGGUGGCGGCGGAGGGUACUAUGGUAAUUCCUCACCCGCGCCGCCUUACGGUGCGCCAGUUUCACAGCAAAAGCCGCCGCCUCCGCCGCCAUCGCCGCCGAGAGCUUCGGCGUGGGACUUUAUAAACCCGUUUGAGAGCAUUGAGAGGUACUACUCGGCGUACACGCCGGGCCGGGACUUGAGGGAGGUGAGAGAGGCGGAAGGUAUUCCUGAUUUGGAAGAUGAGGAAUAUACUGGCCACCGGAGCCAGUACCAGCAGGAAGUGGUGAAGGAAGUUCACAGGGAGCACCACAAGGAAGGGAAGCAGCAUAAGCAUGCUUCGAAGGCGGUGGAGGAGGAGGAGGAGGUGGAAGCUCAGGCCUCGCUGUACCAGACUAGGCCGAGUGUGGAGAAUGAGGGUGGAGUGGAGUAUGAGGUCCAUGUGGUGGAUAAGAAGGUUGUGGAUGAGGAGGAGAAGCGUGAGGAUCACCGAAGCUCCGGUGGAGGAGGAGGAGGCGGUGGAGGCUUCAAGCCGGGGUCUCGGGAUGCUUAUGAUGUGGCUAGAGAGAUUCAGGCUCAGUUUCAGAGAGCUUCCGAGUCCGGGAAUGAGAUUGCUACGAUGCUGGAGGUGGGGAAGCAUCCGUAUAAUCGGAAACAUGUUACUUCCAAGAUGCUGUCACUUGUGUCGUCGCAGCCGUCUACUUCCAACGAGGCAUCGUCCUCUGAAGUUGGUGCUGCUCAAUUGGGGUUUGAUGAAGAAUUGAUGAUGAGGUCGAGAAAUCUGUCUUCUACCUUGCACAAGCUCUAUCUUUGGGAGAAGAAACUGUACAACGAAGUCAAGGCCGAGGAAAAGAUGCGGGUAGUCCAUGACAGGAAGUGCCGUAGGCUGAAGCGUUUAGAUGAAAAGGGAGCAGAAGCCUCGAAAGUAGAUACAACUCGAACUUUGAUAAGGAGCUUGUCCACAAAAAUUAAAAUUGCGAUUCAAGUUGUUGACAAGAUAUCUGUGACCAUAAAUAAGAUCAGGGAUGAAGAAUUAUGGCCACAAUUAAACGAAUUAAUUCAAGGGUUAACCAGGAUGUGGAAAUCUAUGCUUGAAUGCCAUCGUAAUCAGUGCCUAGCAAUCAAAGAAGCCAGGGGUUUAGGUCCUAUUGGAUCUGGAAAGAAGCUAAGUGAUGCUCAUGUUGAUGCUACCUUGCAAUUCGAGCAUGAGCUUGUUAACUGGACUUUCAGAUUCUCGACUUGGAUUAGUGCUCAAAAGGGUUAUGUGAGAGCUUUAAAUAACUGGCUUUUAAAGUGUCUUCUGUAUGAACCUGAAGAAACAGCAGAUGGAAUAGUUCCCUUCUCACCCGGUAGGCUAGGUGCGCCUCCUGUUUUUGUAAUCUGUAACCAGUGGUCACAAGCUUUGGAAAGGAUAUCAGAAAGAGAGGUAGUCGACUCUAUGCGUGUUUUCACGAUGAGUGUGCUUCAGAAUUGGGAACAAGGUAAGCUUGAGAUGCGCCAGAGAAUGACAGAAAAUCAAGAUCUGCAAAAGAAAUUUAAGAACUUGGAUAAAAAGGAUCAAAAGCUUCAGAAGGAGAUUCAAGCAUUGGACAAGAAAGUGGUGCUAGUCUCGGGGGAUGUUGACUAUCCCCCAGUUACAGGUGGACAGAUUGUAUAUCAAAGUGAGACUAGAAAUAGUACUUUACAGGCUAGCCUGCAACGAAUUUUUGAGGCCAUGGAAAGGUUUACGGAUGUCUCCACAAAAGCUUACGAGGAGCUUUUGCAGCGCAGUGAAGAAGAAAGGCUUGCCGGGGCACAUGAGAGGGUUUCAUAGGGCUUGCCCGUGAGAAGUAAUUUUGACGAUUCCUUUCAAUGUGGAGUUCAAGAAUUCAAUAUCUUGGGGGAAACCUUACACUCCAUUUGUUCUUGCCAUCUGAUGGGCUGCUACAGCUGAAUUUUUAAUGCUUCUGGAAGAAAGCCAUAAUUUGGGGUGGCGCUUAUAUUUUGGAGAUAUUGCACCCUGAAUGCUGGAGGGUGGAAAUCAAGUAUUACCUGGGUUGACUCCUUAGAGUUUUAGUUUAAUGAGACAACCAGUACAGUUGGAUGGACAAAACGAAGAGUCGGGGCAAAAGUUAGAUGUGGCCAGCAAUGGAUGAACUUAUUGCUGUUGAUCCAACUUGGUCAUCUUCCUGACAAGACAUGAUUCUGCACCAAGUGGUGCAAAGUUUACUGGUAGAAUUGCAUUACGAGCAAUUCUAACAUCUCUAUGAGUCCAUCGCAGUAUUUGUGGAAAUGAAAUCAGAGAAGGGGCUCAUCUCUUUGACAUAAAUAUUGCAAUAUUGGCUGGCAGCAUGAGUAUGGAAAGGGGACCAAGAGGAGCUCCACUUUUACACACCAAAAGUAGCAAGAGGUGCACUUCUGGGCCAAAAUAAUUCAAGUAAGCGGAUGUCGUUUUCAAUUUUGUAUGAUGAGAUUCAGUGUUGGGGGAGUGACGCAAGUCCCAUCUAUGCCCAAAAUUAGUUUCCCAGCCGACGCCGUGUUCUUACGGCUGACUGCCGAAGGAGGAGACUAAGAGCUCAGUUGACAAAAUGCAGUGGUGAUUUCUGGUGAAGCAUACAGGUUCGGUGCUUCUCCACAGAAUGAAUCACUUUCAUGGGUCUAGAAAUCUUUACGUUAAUUAAAUACUAGAGUGGUGGAAAAUUCUGAAGUGAUAAUGCUGAGCCCACUUUAGUUAAGUGCGUUCAUGCUUAAUCCUUUGCUUUAGGAUACCUUAGGAAGUGUGUCUUCUUCAUCAAAUACACCACAGACUGUCUUCAUCAAACCAGCAUCGACUUUGGGCCAAGAGCGACCACUGGUUGGUAGACAUAACACUUCCGACAAUCUUAAAACGAC
Molecule: RNA transcript, 4180 nt
Organism: Argentina anserina (silverweed cinquefoil)
Lineage: Eukaryota; Viridiplantae; Streptophyta; Magnoliopsida; Rosales; Rosaceae
Gene name: protein ALTERED PHOSPHATE STARVATION RESPONSE 1-like
Exons: 5
Source: RefSeq, a predicted model, not a curated record